This is a long non-coding RNA of Limulus polyphemus (Atlantic horseshoe crab), 3396 nucleotides long. RefSeq lists it as uncharacterized. Lineage: Eukaryota; Metazoa; Arthropoda; Merostomata; Xiphosura; Limulidae. The transcript has 3 exons. The record is from RefSeq and is a predicted model, not a curated record.
ACAAAGUUAGACAUGACAACGUUGAUCGCCUAGCCUUUAUGACAGCCUCAACAUGAUUGGUUGUAAAAACGUAAAGUACUGAACAAAUGAUCAUAUAUCUAAAACUCUGUCUCUUAAAAAGCCAUUGAAUUAAAAUUAUCUUUAUUAUGAUUCAUACAACCUAUAAUUAAUUCAAUCAGGAUUAACUGGUUAAUAUAUCUGUGGCUACAAAUAUAUUUUUUUUACAUUUAUUAUAUUUAUUAAUGACUUUAAGUUUUCAAAAAUAAUUGGUUUGCCACUUUUUUUCUUCUUGUAAGUUGGCCUAGUAUUUCAUAUCUUUGUUACUCUACUGUUAGGUAUGUUGUUCAUCACACUCCACAAAAGUUGAUAACAACUGUGUGAAUUUACAGCUGCCUUUAUUUAGUUUCCAGCCUUUGUAGAGAAGGAAAUGUUCAUGUAAUGUCCACUGAAACUGCAAGAAAAAUUCGGAACCUAUUCACUUUCGUAAAUAAACAAAUACAUCGUGUUCAUUAAUUAGGGCCUCCAAUGGCUCAGCUGUAAGCUUGAGAAUUUAUAUGUUAAAAAUCAGGGUUUGAUAUCCAUUGUGGAUACUGCACAGAUAGACCAUUGUGUAGCUUUGUGCUUCAAUACAAAACAUAAUAAAAAAAACACUUAACGUAAUGGGUGUAUGAACAGCCCAUAGGCUUAGUCUUUGGGUUUGACUUUACACUCUUUACAAAGAAAUUUAUUUGGAUUUUGGGUCAUGUUUUCAGGAGCAGAGCACACAAGCCACCUACUCGAGGAUGUUUAUAUGUGGAAUGAAAAACUCACACAGAGAUAACUGAAUAAAAAUCAAAUAGUCUUUAUUUAUACACUGUUUAUCUAUAUUGAAAUUCUCAAGGUUAUCUUGAAAAAACACUAACUCCAAGUCAUUGAAUUCUUCGUCCUGAAGAUCUAGGUGUUCAUUAAUAAGGCCUUCUAUUAUGUUCAGUAACAUAGACACAACAUUAGUUACCAACUAAAUUAACAUGAAAUCCUCUCAGUCAUAAUUUGUGUAUUAACAAUUCUUUUAAGAUAUUUUUAAGUAACUCCACUUUAAGCAUUUUCAAAUCUGCUAUUUCUUUAGUAACAUUAAGGUUCUUCACUUCAUACAUUAUUGAACUGUAAGUGAAACACUGUUAGACAAGAUAAGAAAUAGCAUACUUACAAGGAGUUUUUGGUGUGAGCUUCUUGUUGAUUUUGGAUUACUGCCAUCUUCUGGAGUCAGAAAAAUUCCCUGGAGCAACUUCAGAUUUUAGUUUGAAACACAGAAUUAUAUUCAAGAAUCUUAGCAGAUCUACUAUUUCUAUUAAUUCGAUUGGUUUUUGGUCGUUACAGAACUUAUUUAUGUCCCUUAUCUAAUACCUUUGACAAAAUUACCCAAGACAAUUAACUUACGAUGUAACUCGUAUCUCUUUACUAAGAUUAAUUCACUCAGUGAUUUUCCCUGCUGUCUCAUUAACAGUUUUUUGUGACAUUGGUUUAUUUCAUCAGGAGCUUUAUCUGAACAAUUGGGGUUUUAUCUCAAUAUACCAUGUCUGUCUUGCACUAGAGUCUGUAGCUGUGAAUUUUAUCGCCUCUUGAUCAAGACACAGAAUUUGUUCCAGACUAACUCCUGCAGUGGGUUUCAAGCCUCAUCUUCCUUAUUUGUUAUUGUAGUUCACUGGUAUCCACGUUUUUUUUAAUUUAAACUCUCAUUACAACUCUUGCACUAGAGUCUGUAGCUGUGAAUUUUAUCGCCUCUUGAUCAAGACACAGAAUUUGUUCCAGACUAACUCCUGCAAUGGGUUUCAAGCCUCAUCUUCAUUAUUUGUUAUUGUGGUUCACUGGUAUCCACGUUUUUUUAAUAACGUUUUCGAUCUGCUGCUUUCUCCAUACUAUACAUCAUAUACAUUAAAAAAAUACAAUGUAAUUCUUGAAAACCUUUAAAUUUGUAUAUACUUAGCAUUUGUAUUCCGCAAAUACUUCAUUAAUCAGGGCGGUCACAAACUUGGAACACCUGGAAAAGGAACAAAUAAAAGUCAGGGAAAUUAAAAAAAUUAUUCCAAACCUAGAAAAUAUGGGGAAAUAGUGGAUCAUCCCCAUUUUCUGUCGCCUACACUGGAAACAUGCACAAAGCAUACGGCUUAGCUAUGCCAGUUAUUGAUAUAUUUUAACAUAAUUCUGGUCAGUCACUGUUAUUUUAUCUGUUUAUGCUUACCUAACUCAUUUUGUUCGAUGACAAGUUAGGUCAAAUAUUCCUUUAUAAAUAAAAAUGUACCAUUUUAUUGUCUACAAUCAGGUUUCAAUGUCUUUGUCUGAAGAUCUUUUCCUGUACUACUAGUCUGAUAUGAGGAUAUACUGAAGGUUUUUAUACCCCAUUAUAACUAGCUUAUGAACUAAAGUAGUGUUAGGUUGGUCCAUGAAGAGAAAUUUAAAUAUACUCGUACAUGGGCAGGUUUUGAAAAUCUGGAAUUUUGCCUAGAAAGGCUGGAAAUAUUUUAUGGAAUAUUGUUGCCACCUUGUUAUUAGUCAAACUACAAAUUCCUUAGGUUUCUUUAUACCCAUUCUGUACUUUAAUAUAACUACAAAGUCUAUAGGAUUUUUACACCCACUCUGUACUUUAAUACAACUACAAAAUUAGUAGGUGUCUUUAUACCCAUUCUGUACUUUAAUAUAACUACAAAGUCUAUAGGAUUUUUACACCCACUCUGUACUUUAAUAUAACUACAAAGUCUAUAGGAUUUUUACACCCACUCUGUACUUUAAUAUAACUACAAAGUCUAUAGGAUUUUUACACCCACUCUGUACUUUAAUUCAACUACAAAAUCAGUAGGUUUCUUUAUACCCAUUCUGUACUUUAAUAUAACUACAAAGUUUAUAGGAUUUUUACACCCACUCUGUACUUUAAUUCAACUACAAAAUCAGUAGGUUUCUUUAUACCCGUUCUGUACUUUAAUAUAACUACAAAGUUUAUAGGUUUUCUUUAUACCCAUUCUGUACUUUAAUAUAACUACAAAGUUUAUUGGAUUUUUACACCCUUUUUGUACUUUAAUGCAACUACAAAAUCAGCAGGUUUCUGUAUACCCAUUCUGUUCUUGAUAUAUAUAACAAAAGGCUUCUCAUCUAUUUCAUGACUUUUCACUUGUUUCUUUAAUAAUUAAGAGAAAGCAUAAAUAAAAUUAAAUGGGGAGGACAAGGUGAAAAUAACAAAAUUAAUUUCUCAUUUUGAUUUGGAAGACAAGUCAGAUGAGAAUAUUAGUGAGGGAUUGUGAUCUACAAUAAUAGUUAAGCACGUAAACUGGCUUAAUCUUACCUGACUUCUUAAAUGUGUAAACAUUUAAAAUAAAAUUGUAACAGUUUUUGUACCUUUGCAGUUAAUGUUCUCUCUCUUAUUAU